This 492-nucleotide ribosomal RNA is filed under the name uncultured bacterium. RNAcentral describes it as "partial 16S ribosomal RNA". It matches the Rfam family "Bacterial small subunit ribosomal RNA", at positions 29 to 507 of the family's 1533-position model. The record is from RNAcentral.
AGUGAACGCUGGCGGUAGGCCUAACACAUGCAAGUCGAACGGCAGCACAGUAAGAGCUUGCUCUUACGGGUGGCGAGUGGCGGACGGGUGAGGAAUACAUCGGAAUCUACUUUUUCGUGGGGGAUAACGUAGGGAAACUUACGCUAAUACCGCAUACGACCUACGGGUGAAAGCAGGGGAUCUUCGGACCUUGCGCGAUUGAAUGAGCCGAUGUCGGAUUAGCUAGUUGGCGGGGUAAAGGCCCACCAAGGCGACGAUCCGUAGCUGGUCUGAGAGGAUGAUCAGCCACACUGGAACUGAGACAAGGUCCAGACUCCUAAGGGAGGCAGCAGUGGGGAAUAUUGGACAAUGGGCGCAAGCCUGAUCCAGCCAUGCCGCGUGGGUGAAGAAGGCCGUCGGGUUUUAAAGCGCUUUUGUUGGGAAAGAAAAGCAGCAGGUUAAUAUCCCGCUGUUCUGACGGUACCCAAAGAAUAAGCACCGGCUAACUUCGCG